AGUGGCGGACGGGUGAGUAACGCGUGGGUAACCUGCCUCACACAGGGGGAUAACAGUUAGAAAUGACUGCUAAUACCGCAUAAGACCACAGCACCGCAUGGUGCAGGGGUAAAAACUCCGGUGGUAUGAGAUGGACCCGCGUCUGAUUAGGUAGUUGGUGGGGUAACGGCCUACCAAGCCGACGAUCAGUAGCCGACCUGAGAGGGUGACCGGCCACAUUGGGACUGAGACACGGCCCAA
This 240-nucleotide ribosomal RNA is filed under the name uncultured bacterium. RNAcentral describes it as "partial 16S ribosomal RNA". It matches the Rfam family "Bacterial small subunit ribosomal RNA", at positions 94 to 334 of the family's 1533-position model. The record is from RNAcentral.